RNAcentral lists this ribosomal RNA (400 nucleotides) under uncultured bacterium. RNAcentral describes it as "bacterial SSU rRNA". It matches the Rfam family "Bacterial small subunit ribosomal RNA", at positions 356 to 773 of the family's 1533-position model. The record is from RNAcentral.
GGGGAAUAUUGCGCAAUGGGGGAAACCCUGACGCAGCAACGCCGCGUGGGUGAUGAAGGUUUUCGGAUCGUAAAACCCUGUUUUCUGGGACGAUAAUGACGGUACCAGAUGAGGAAGCCACGGCUAACUACGUGCCAGCAGCCGCGGUAAUACGUAGGUGGCAAGCGUUGUCCGGAUUUACUGGGCGUAAAGGGUGCGUAGGCGGAUGCUUAAGUGAGAUGUGAAAUACCUAGGCUUAACUUAGGGGCUGCAUUUCAAACUGGGCAUCUAGAGUACAGGAGAGGGAAACGGAAUUCCUAGUGUAGCGGUGAAAUGCGUAGAGAUUAGGAAGAACACCAGUGGCGAAGGCGGUUUCCUGGACUGUAACUGACGCUGAGGCACGAAAGCGUGGGUAGCAAAC